AUCCACUCUUCCAAGCGUAAUACGAUAGAGAGAACCUUUGGUGUGUGGAAGAUGAAAUGACAAAUCUUUCUCAAGAUGCCAAACUACUCGAUUGCAACACAAAAACUGAUUGCCGCAACUACCAUUACACUACACAACUACGUCUGCCUCCAUGACAAAGAGGAUCUCCACUUUCUUCAGUGCGAGAGGGAUCUUGAUUAUGCUCCAACUAUUCCUAAUAGAUACAAGAAGUAUGCUAUUCCUUCAAAUGCAUCGGAUGCUUCAACAAUGGCAGAAAGUGGUCUUAACAUGGAUUUGUUUAGGCAUGAACUAGCUACUGCCAUUGCUCUUAGUUGGUGA
Molecule: ribosomal RNA, 339 nt
Filed under: Triticum aestivum (bread wheat)
Lineage: Eukaryota; Viridiplantae; Streptophyta; Magnoliopsida; Poales; Poaceae
Description: partial small subunit ribosomal RNA
Source: RNAcentral